UACGGAGGAUGCGAGCGUUAUCCGGAUUUAUUGGGUUUAAAGGGUGCGUAGGCGGACGCUUAAGUCAGCGGUAAAAUUGCGGGGCUCAACCUCGUCGAGCCGUUGAAACUGGGUGCCUUGAGUGGGCGAGAAGUACGCGGAAUGCGUGGUGUAGCGGUGAAAUGCAUAGAUAUCACGCAGAACUCCGAUUACGAAGGCAGCGUACCGGCGCCCAACUGACGCUGAAGCACGAAGGCGUGGGUAUCGAACAGG
RNAcentral lists this ribosomal RNA (252 nucleotides) under uncultured bacterium. RNAcentral's name for it is "partial 16S ribosomal RNA". It matches the Rfam family "Bacterial small subunit ribosomal RNA", at positions 524 to 776 of the family's 1533-position model. The record is from RNAcentral.